This 620-nucleotide long non-coding RNA is filed under the name Brassica rapa (field mustard). Its description in RNAcentral is "long non-coding RNA (BRAP_LNC004500)". Lineage: Eukaryota; Viridiplantae; Streptophyta; Magnoliopsida; Brassicales; Brassicaceae. The record is from RNAcentral.
UAAGGAAAUAAUAAAUCACAUUAAUAAUGUAUAUAUUGUGGUUUAAUAAAAAACUUAUUAUAUAUUUAAAUGGACCAACCUAUUUCUCUAAGGAUUCUAAGAAUCAUUCUAGUGAUGACACGUGGCUACAAAAAAAUGUUGCAAUGCUUCUCAAAUAAUAUAUAGGGGAUUUCCCGUUUUUUGCUUUCUUUUCUUUUUUAUUUAUUUAUUAAAAUAAAAUAAAUAGUAAUUCAAAUAUCAAAUAUAGUCCCGUUACCUCACACAACCCAAUAACUACUAACUGUUGGAAAAAUAUAAUUUUUUUUUUUGCUUUUAGUGGACAAAGAUAAUUUACUGUUUUUUAUUUUAUUUUUGAAGCACUUCAAUAUGGAACAAAAAUGUUGGUAUAUCUAUAUUUUUAAAACUGAAGUACAUUUUGAUAUUGUUUGAAAACAUGAAUUACAAUAUAAAAAAUAAUUAUUUGAAAACAUGAAAAGCAGUAUAAGAAAGAAGUACAUUGUCUUUCUAGUAAUUUCAUUAAUAUAAUUACAUUAAUUAUAUUUUCAUAUCUCAUUCAGUUUAAUAAUUUUAUUAAUUAUAUUAUCUUAACAAUACAUCACAUCCUUAAUUAUAUUACCAUA